UCAAGCUAAUAAGAGCGCAGGGUGGAUGCCUUGGCACUAAGAGCCGAUGAAAGACGUGAUAAGCUGCGAAAAGCUUCGGGGAGGAGCAAAUAUCCAUUGAUCCGGAGAUAUCUGAAUGGGGAAACCCGGCUGAGAAGCCCUCAGCCACUGUAUGGUGAAUCCAUAGCCAUACAGAGGGAACCCGGUGAACUGAAACAUCUAAGUAGCCGGAGGAAGAGAAAGAAACAUCGAUUCCGGAAGUAGCGGCGAGCGAACCCGGAAGAGCCCAAACCAGCGUGCGUGCAUGCUGGGGUUAAGGACUGCAUAAGUGAGCUGAUUCGUUAGUGGAACUGCCUGGGAAGGCGGGCCGGAGAGGGUGAAAGCCCCGUACAUGAAAACGAUAGGCAGCGGCAGGAUCCAGAGUACCGCGAGACACGAGAAACCUUGCGGGAAGUCGGAGGGACCACCCUCCAAGGCUAAAUACUCCUUAGUGACCGAUAGCGCAUAGUACUGUGAAGGAAAGGUGAAAAGGACCCCGGGAGGGGAGUGAAAGAGAACCUGAAACCCUGUGUUUACAAACUGUGGGAGCACGUUAAGGUGCGACCGCGUACUUUUUGUAGAACGGUCCGGCGAGUUGCCGGUGCUGGCGAGGUUAAAUGGUAGAGCCAUGGAGCCGAAGGGAGACCAAGUCUCAAAUGGGCGUAAAGUCAGCACAGGCAGACCCGAAACCGGGUGACCUAUCCAUGUCCAGGAUGAAGCGGAAGUAAAAUUCCGUGGAGGUCCGGAUCCACAUCCGUUGAAAAGGGUGGGAAUGAGGUGUGGAUAGGGGAGAAAUUCCAAUCGAACCCGGAGAUAGCUGGUUCUCCUCGAAAUAGCUUUAGGGCUAGCCCCGUAUUAGUUUAGCGGAGGUAGAGCACUGAAUUCCUAAGGGGGCGUCAAAGCUUACCAAGGGAUAUCAAACUCCGAAUGCCGCAUAAAUGAUGUACGGGAGUCAGACUGCACGAGAUAAGUUGGGCAGUCAAAAGGGAAAGAGCCCAGACCUACAGCUAAGGUCCCAAAGUGUGUGUUAAGUGGAAAAGGAUGUGGGAUUUCAGAGACAACUAGGAUGUUGGCUUAGAAGCAGCCACACAUUCAAAGAGUGCGUAAUAGCUCACUAGUCGAGAGGUCCUGCGCCGAAAAUGUCCGGGGCUGAAACACAACACCGAAGCUUAGGAAUGUAGUGAUACAUUGGUAGAGGAGCAUUCUUAAAGGGAAGAAGCAGUACCGACAAGGAGCUGUGGACAUUUAAGAAGAGAGAAUGCCGGAAUGAGUAGCGAGAUGGAGGUGGGAAUCCUCCAGGCCGAAUAUCCAAGGUUUCCAGAGUAAAGCUGAUCUGCUCUGGGUAAGUCGGGGCCUAAGGUAAGGCUGAGAAGCGUAGCCGAUGGACAACAGGUUGAGAUUCCUGUACCGCGUAUCAUCAGAACUGUGGGGACACAGAAGGACAGCACAGCCCGGGAAUGGAAAGACCGGGGCAAGCAGGGUAGGAGUCAAGCUGGCAAAUCCGCUUGACGAUCCGAAGCUGUGAUGCGGAGCGAAUUAAAGUAGCGAAGUGUGUGAUUCCGGCUGUCAAGAAAAGCCGCUAUUGUGUGAUACGUGCCCGUACCGUAAACCGACACAGGUAGAUGAGGAGAGAAUCCUAAGGCCGGCGGGAGAAGCAUUGUUAAGGAACUCGGCAAAAUGACCCUGUAACUUCGGGAGAAAGGGUGCCUGGGAAACCAGGCCGCAGAGAAUAGGCUCAAGCAACUGUUUAGCAAAAACACAGGUCUAUGCAAAACCGUAAGGUGAGGUAUAUGGGCUGACGCCUGCCCGGUGCUGGAAGGUUAAGAGGAGGGGUUAGCGCAAGCGAAGCUCUGAAUUGAAGCCCCAGUAAACGGCGGCCGUAACUAUAACGGUCCUAAGGUAGCGAAAUUCCUUGUCGGGUAAGUUCCGACCCGCACGAAAGGCGUAAUGAUUUGAGCGCUGUCUCGACAAUGCACCCGGUGAAAUUGAAAUACCAGUGAAGAUGCUGGUUACCCGCGCCAGGACGGAAAGACCCCAUGGAGCUUUACUCCAGCUUGAUACUGGGAUUCGGUACUGCAUGUACAGGAUAGGUGGGAGACUGAGAAACUUGGACGCCAGUCUGAGAUGAGUCGCUGUUGGGAUACCACCCCUGCGGUAUUGGAUUUCUAACCUGCAGCCGUGAUCCGGCUGGGGGACAAUGUCAGGCGGGGAGUUUGACUGGGGCGGUCGCCUCCGAAAGGGUAUCGGAGGCGCUCAAAGGUUCCCUCAUAAUGGUUGGAAACCAUUAGAAGAGUGCAAAGGCAUAAGGGAGCUUGACUGCGACACCGACGGGUGGAGCAGGUAGGAAACUAGGACUUAGUGAUCCGGUGGUAUGAAAGUGGGAUUGCCAUCGCUCAACGGAUAAAAGCUACCCUGGGGAUAACAGGCUUAUCACUCCCAAGAGUUCACAUCGACGGAGUGGUUUGGCACCUCGAUGUCGGCUCAUCGCAUCCUGGGGCUGU
RNAcentral lists this ribosomal RNA (2519 nucleotides) under metagenome. Its description in RNAcentral is "bacterial LSU rRNA". It matches the Rfam family "Bacterial large subunit ribosomal RNA", at positions 3 to 2556 of the family's 2925-position model. The record is from RNAcentral.